This is a long non-coding RNA of Gorilla gorilla gorilla (western lowland gorilla), 241 nucleotides long. RefSeq lists it as uncharacterized. NCBI's taxonomy places the organism in Eukaryota, Metazoa, Chordata, Mammalia, Primates, Hominidae. The record is from RefSeq and is a predicted model, not a curated record. The transcript has 3 exons.
UCUAAGUCUGGUCUGAGUCCAUAUGCCUGAGAACCAGGAGAGAUGGUGUCCAAGAGAAGAGGAAGAAGGAUGUCCCAACUCAAGCGGAGAGAGAAAAAUUCCUGGCCUUUCACCUGUCUCCAUGACUUGUUGCUUCUUACAUUUUUGGACACUAUGUUGUGCACGUCUGAAGAAAAACAUACAUAAAAAUAACACAGUCUUUACUGCUAUUAAACUGUUCUCUUAGAACUUCUUUUACUAC